This 2899-nucleotide long non-coding RNA is filed under the name Salvia miltiorrhiza (redroot sage). RNAcentral's name for it is "long non-coding RNA (SMIL_LNC009143)". The record is from RNAcentral. Lineage: Eukaryota; Viridiplantae; Streptophyta; Magnoliopsida; Lamiales; Lamiaceae.
CCGCGUGGUUCUUGAGGCACUCGCGGUACCUGACGGGCUUCUUGAAAUCGUCGUCGGCGAUCUGGGUGGCGGAAGAAGGGAUGAUAAUGUGGUUGUGGGAUGGCGGUGGAUGAUGAUGAUGGUGAUGGAUCAUGUGGCCAUGCCCACCAUAGGUGCUGUUCAGUGGGAGCGGCAUCUCAUCACCUUCUUCACUUGGAACCUCCAUUAGAUCUUUCCUCUUUUGUGCGUGUGUCACUUGUUUGGAGACCAAAAGGACCACCAGAUUAGGGUGCUAACACCAAUGAUUAAACCUUAAAAGUCAUGCCCUCACUUGUAAAUUUUCCUAUGCGCGCGCUAGCUGUCUUUUUUUUGGGGGGGUGUCAAGCAACGACACUAUAUAUAAAUAUGGGAAUAAAUCACUGAUUCUUAAUUCAAACUGAGUUUGAUUUCAAGAGGCAGAAAUUAAUUAAGGUUAACUUAUUGGGUUGUGGGAUUUAUGGACUGGGAGGAGAAACCAAGAACAAAAUACUAGAUAUUUGUUAGUAGGGAAUGACAGUGAAUCAACCUGCGUUUUUCUUUCUACACAUUGUAAACAUGUUUUCUUGAAUAAAGGGAAGUAAGGCAGAGAUUAGUUUUGUCUGAAAGAAUAGUGUUGAAGGGAAAAAUAAAUAAAGUCAUGUAGUAUAUAUAUGAGGUUCAAGUAANAAUGAUGUUCACGAGCCAGUUUUAUUAUUUCAAACUCCAAACGAAAUGAUGUUUGAAACUCAGUUAUGGUAUUUUAAGCUCUAAAUGAGACGAUGCACAAAAGACCUGUUAUGAUUUUUCAAGCUCCAUACAAGAUGAUGGUUAGAAGUUAGUUAUGAUCUCACAAGCUUCAGAUUGCAUAAUCUCACAAGUCAGCCCUGGUGUUUCUAACUCCUACUGAAAAUGAUGUUUAGAAGUGAGUUAUGAUAUUUAAAGCAUCAGGUAGUGUUGUUGAAACGACUGACGCAUUAAAUCAGAUAUUGUAUUUUAGGGUCCAGACGAGAUAAUGCUAAAAAAUUUGGUGUUCAAAAGUCAGAUAUCGUCUUCGAGUUCUUGAUGAUCAUCUGGUCUUACAGACUUCAGAUGAGAUGAUGUUUAGAUGACAAAUGAGAUCUUAAAUUAAUUCUUAUCCGUCAAUAUAGAAAAAUUGUACAAAAUUUAUACUCCCUCCGUCCGCAAUAUCGUUUUCACAUUUGCCAUUUCGAUCUGUCCGCGAUAUCGCGAAAUGGCAAAUGUGGAAACGAUAUCGCGGACGGACCGAAGUGUAUUUUUAUCAUUCUAGCAAAAAGUUAAUAUUUAAUUGACGAAUAUAGUUGAAAUUAGUACUACCUCCGUCCACCAAAAGUAUGACACUUUGGAGGGACAUACGUUUUAAGAAAAUUGGUGGUGAUUUUUCAAAAGCAGAGACUAAACAUCCGCCAAAUGGACAAAUGGUCCCACCAAAAUUGAAAUGAUAGUUGAGAUUGAAUUAAAAGUGAUUUUUUUUUGUAAAUAAAGAGUGUUUGUAGAGAUAAAAAAAAGUAAUACGGUCAUGCCUUAAAAUGAAAAGUGCCAUAAUUUUUGUGGACACUCAAAAUAACAAAAGUAUCGUACUUUUCGUGGUCGAAGCGAAUAUAAUAUAAACUUUAUUACAUCUAAUUAAAUUAAUUAAAAGAUAAUUAUAUUAUAUAAACCAAUAUAAAUAAUUUAAAUUAUAAUUUAAAGUCACGUCGAAUUUCUACAGGUUAUACUUCUACUAAAUAAGACACCAACAGUAAAAUAAAGGAUUUCAUGUGACAUGCAUCCCCAAACUUAAAACUAAUUGCGUCAAGAAGAGAAAACCAUAUCAUCAAAUUAGGAGGUGGAGAAUAACAAGCUUGACAUCCUUGAAAUAAAUCCAUUCCUCGCUAAAAUGGAUUUACAAUUGGUACCAAACUCCAACUACUAAAAACUUACUCAAACCCCAGUUUUAAUUUCUUCAACUACAUAAGAACACCAUUAUUGUCAAACACAUUAUAAAGCUACUCCUGAAACGCAGAUUCACGACAUAAAAGUCCAAAUCUAACAGAUCCCAAUAUAUUCCCCCACCCAAAAUAAAAAUGUAGGAACAGAAUAGAAUAGAAAUAAACAAAAGGGAAAAGGUAAUAACUUUCUGCAGCAAAAACAGUAGUAUUAAUUAAUUAAUUAGUCCCUAAACUCUGAUGUUGAGGGUCAGAUUGAAGAAGGGUCUUCUUUGCAAGAGUAUGCUUGUUGUUGUGCAUCCAUACCUUCAAAACUCUUCUCUUGACUCCAACUUCUUGGCAGAACUGCUGCACCACUCCUUCUUCCUGCUUCUGUAUUUUCCACCCAACUUUCUCUGCAAAGUUGAGCAUCUUCUCCUUCUGCUCCUGACUGAACUUGGUUCUGAACCUCUUCUUCACCAGCUGCGGCGCUCUGCCGCCGUCCUGCUCGUCGGACUCGGAGGGGCCGCCGCUGUUGUAGGAGUGCAUAAUCAUCUGGUGUGGCCUGUAGCCCUUGUGCUGGUGGUGGUGGUGGCCCAGGAAGAGCUUGCGGCCAAUCCUGGGGUAGCAGCCGUCGCAGGGGUCACCGUCGGCCUCCUUGCGGUGGAAGUUGCGGUGGCAGCCGCAGGCGGAGCAGGUAAGGGCGUCGAGGUCGGCGGUGGGCAUGAACUCGCCGCAGCCGUCGGUGGCGUUGCCGCCCAUCGCAGCCGCGUGGUUCUUGAGGCACUCGCGGUACCUGACGGGCUUCUUGAAAUCGUCGUCGGCGAUCUGGGUGGCGGAAGAAGGGAUGAUAAUGUGGUUGUGGGAUGGCGGUGGAUGAUGAUGAUGGUGAUGGAUCAUGUGGCCAUGCCCACCAUAGGUGCUGUUCAGUGGGAGCGGCAUCUCAUCACCUUCUUCACUUGGAACCUCCAUUAGAU